RNAcentral lists this unclassified non-coding RNA (1611 nucleotides) under Leishmania donovani. RNAcentral describes it as "gene:unknown". Lineage: Eukaryota; Euglenozoa; Kinetoplastea; Trypanosomatida; Trypanosomatidae. The record is from RNAcentral.
UCUCCAGCCAACGCAGACGCGGCUGCACAUUUUCAUAAGGUGAUAGCAGCUAUCUGUGCGUGGGAUUGUCUCUCUCUCUCUACCGGAGCCACUGCCUGUGCUUGAGGGAGCGACGCACAAAACACAUAAUGGUGGUGUCUGUUCGCCGCCGAGUCUCGGAUGUCAGUGAAUACCUGCAGCGCAGGAGCUGAACCACAGAAUUGUAGCCUGUCAACGUGAGCUCACUGCUUUUUUUCUUGCUUUUUCGAUCAUUCGAAGAGCCCCAUACGGCACGCGAGAUUGGCGGAUCGCUCAACGCUCAACGAGCCCCUCGUUGCACGCUAUGGCCUUGCACGCAGUGACCUGAUUACACACAUCUCACUCGCGCUGAAUCGGCUUUCCCCGUCGGGUGCCCACGACUGCCCCCUGUGCCCCCCUCCCAGGAAGACAGGCUCUGAGCUCUUUGUGCGCACGCGCUGUCAAGCACCGCCGGCACGGCGCCUCGCAUCCGAAGAAAGCAUGCAGAGGCGCGAAGAGACGCAUGCGAGCGAGCCGCCGUGUGCAUGUGCGCGGAGCAUGCGGAACGUCCCCCACCCGGCCGUGUGGGCUGCUGAGGCACAGAUGCCCGGGGGGGGGGGGCAUGACGCGAGCACCCCGAAUGGCAGCAUCGGGUCGUCCGGGCACCCAUGUGGCGAGUCUCCACACCGUACUAUGGCAUGCCGCUGCUUGAGGCGACGGAGGGCGCGAGGGAGGGCACACAGGCGGAGCACAGGGCCUCCAGGGGGCCCUGGCCUGCGGCUGGCCAACUGAUUCCGUGAGCCCGUGCGGCAUGCACCUGGGCCACCACCACCCCUCUACUACGCGCACGGCGGACGCCGGUGCCUCCGCCCUUGAGCAGGGCCCUGGACGCUGCCCGCGUUGGGUCCAGGCGCGCAGUGCACCCAGGUCGGUCUGGUGCCGGUGGCGCAGCACGCGUGCGAGGGAGGCGCGAGGAAGGACAAGAAGAGACCGUGAGACGCAUGUCCCCGCUUCGGCGGCAGCCGUCUCGCCCUAGAGGGCCAAGAUGCCGCCUUGGUGCAGCGGAGGCGUCUGCGCUGUGAUGGCGUGUACGUCUGGGUGGGAGUGCCGUGUUUGAUUUGUUGGUGGUGUACUGAAACUAUGGAAAAGAAGGAGCGGGUGGGAUAUCGAUUUGUGCGCACCACACAUGGCUGCCGUCGCUGCUCGUUUCUUUUGCGCGGGUUUCUAUGGUGCCUUCUGUGCUCUGCUGCGUCUCUCCUGUGCAGGCUCGUCUCCACCGUGGAGGUUGUGAUGGAGAGCGUGGAGCGGUUCCGAGAAGCGCGGGCGACGGUCGGUGUCUGCUUUGUUCAUCCCUGUAGGCAUUUGAUAGCGAACAGGCUACGGAGACGUGCGGCGGGUUUCUGAGUGCAUCUCUUGGCGCCUUCCUCGUAAUGCGCCUUUUCAAUAUAUAUCCCGGUAGUCUGCCACCCCUUUUUCUGCUCUUCCGUCCGUUUUUCCGCCACUCUUGCAUUGUGUACCGCUCUGAGUCUUUCCUAAAGAUGUGCGCAUGGCUCGUCCGCCGGUGGCGCUUUUUUUCUUGUAACCUGCAUGGUGCGCCUGCCCAGCUUCAGCCCG